This 254-nucleotide ribosomal RNA is filed under the name uncultured bacterium. RNAcentral describes it as "partial 16S ribosomal RNA". It matches the Rfam family "Bacterial small subunit ribosomal RNA", at positions 524 to 776 of the family's 1533-position model. The record is from RNAcentral.
UACGAAGGGGGCUAGCGUUGCUCGGAAUCACUGGGCGUAAAGGGUGCGUAGGCGGGUCUUUUAAGUCAGGGGUGAAAUCCUGGAGCUCAACUCCAGAACUGCCUUUGAUACUGAGGAUCUUGAGUUCGGGAGAGGUGAGUGGAACUGCGAGUGUAGAGGUGAAAUUCGUAGAUAUUCGCAAGAACACCAGUGGCGAAGGCGGCUCACUGGCCCGAUACUGACGCUGAGGCACGAAAGCUAGGGGAGCAAACAGG